AGCAGCCGCCACGGUAAUACGAAGGGUGCAAGCGUUACUCGGAAUUACUGGGCGUAAAGCGUGCGUAGGUGGUGGCUUAAGUCCGUUGUGAAAGCCCUGGGCUCAACCUAGGAAUUGCAGUGGAUACUGGGUCACUAGAGUGUGGUAGAGGAUAGUGGAAUUUCCGGUGUAGCGGUGAAAUGCGUAGAGAUCGGGAGGAACAUCAGUGGCGAAGGCGGCCAUCUGGGACAACACUGACGCUGAGGCACGAAAGCGUGGGGAGCAAACAGGAUCAGAUACCCGCGUAGUCCCUGUCUCUUAUAC
RNAcentral lists this ribosomal RNA (303 nucleotides) under uncultured bacterium. Its description in RNAcentral is "partial 16S ribosomal RNA". It matches the Rfam family "Bacterial small subunit ribosomal RNA", at positions 507 to 807 of the family's 1533-position model. The record is from RNAcentral.